ACAAAAACAUCUGUUAUUGAACAUAAUAAUAGCUAUUACCUGCUCAAUGUCUAAAUAAAUAGCCGCAGGUAUACCUGUGCUAAGGUAGCAUAAUCCUUCGUCCAUUAAUUGUGGUCUUGCAUGAACGGUAUGACGAGAAGAUCUCUGUCUCUAUUAGGUUGAAUAAAAAUUGGACUGGUAGUAAAAAUCCUUCCAUAUCCUAGACGGACGAAAAGACCCUGUGAAUCUUAACUAAUUUUGAAAGCAAGCCUUUUACAAUAAGUUUACCUGGGAAGGGACUAACUACAAACGUUAUGUUAAAUUAAAAAUACAGCUAUUAAUCUAAAUCAAGGAGUAUAAACUCACUAUUAGAAUAGUUACUCCAGGGAUAACAGUGUAAUACCACCUACAUCAGCACACAUGAGUAGAGGGGAUUACAACCUCGAUGUUGAAUUAAGGUUAGACUUGGAUAGCAGAAUUUCAAUAUUCUUGGUUUGUUCAACCAUUAAAACCUUACGUGAUCUGA
Molecule: ribosomal RNA, 505 nt
Filed under: Pectinopygus tordoffi
Lineage: Eukaryota; Metazoa; Arthropoda; Insecta; Psocodea; Philopteridae
Description: partial 16S ribosomal RNA
Rfam family: Bacterial large subunit ribosomal RNA
Source: RNAcentral